AUCAUUUUGAUGACCUUCUUGUUUUCAGCUGAGCCCAAGUCAUGUCUGUGACUUUCCACUGCAAAUGACUCAGUCAAUCAACUCACUGUGAGCUAAUAAGUCAUAUACAGAACCUGGAGGCAGAAGAGGGAGGAGAGAUGAGGAGGAAAAGUGCAUGACAGCACUCCAGGUUGCUGUUUCUGACCACCGCACAGCACCACCCACUGUGAUCCUUCCUGUUACUUCUCCAGCCCCUGGUGAAGAGCUGCCUCCAACUUCCUGCGCUCACCUGCAAUACUACAGAAAGCAAGCAGAGCGCCUUAUAGAUGCACCAGAGAGUCUACGUCUACAAAGAACAAGGAGCUGAGAACCUACCAUAAAAAACUUACAUCAAAAGGAAUAUGUAUCUUGCUUCUUGGAAAGGGAAGUUUACUUUUCUGGGGCAGGGCUUAAGGAAGUGUCCCAGCAAGACACUUGCUGAUGACUGAGCUCCGGUCAACACUGCUAGGAAGUGUCUUGGGAGUGGUGGGAAA
This 512-nucleotide long non-coding RNA is filed under the name Pan paniscus (pygmy chimpanzee). Its description in RNAcentral is "lncRNA (ENSPPAG00000045273.1)". Lineage: Eukaryota; Metazoa; Chordata; Mammalia; Primates; Hominidae. The record is from RNAcentral.